RNAcentral lists this ribosomal RNA (372 nucleotides) under uncultured organism. RNAcentral describes it as "partial 16S ribosomal RNA". It matches the Rfam family "Bacterial small subunit ribosomal RNA", at positions 527 to 896 of the family's 1533-position model. The record is from RNAcentral.
GUAGGUGGCAAGCGUUGUCCGGAAUUAUUGGGCGUAAAGCGCGCGCAGGCGGUUCUUUAAGUCUGAUGUGAAAGCCCACGGGCUCAACCGUGGAGGGUCAUUGGAAACUGGAGAACUUGAGUACAGAAGAGGAAAGCGGAAUUCCACGUGUAGCGGUGAAAUGCGUAGAGAUGUGGAGGAACACCAGUGGCGAAGGCGGCUUUCUGGUCUGUAACUGACGCUGAGGCGCGAAAGCGUGGGGAGCAAACAGGAUUAGAUACCCUGGUAGUCCACGCCGUAAACGAUGAGUGCUAAGUGUUAGGGGGUUUCCGCCCCUUAGUGCUGCAGCUAACGCAUUAAGCACUCCGCCUGGGGAGUACGGCCGCGAGGCUG